Molecule: ribosomal RNA, 421 nt
Filed under: Salmonella enterica subsp. enterica serovar Adabraka
Lineage: Bacteria; Pseudomonadati; Pseudomonadota; Gammaproteobacteria; Enterobacterales; Enterobacteriaceae
Description: bacterial SSU rRNA
Rfam family: Bacterial small subunit ribosomal RNA
Source: RNAcentral
GCGUAAAGCGCACGCAGGCGGUCUGUCAAGUCGGAUGUGAAAUCCCCGGGCUCAACCUGGGAACUGCAUUCGAAACUGGCAGGCUUGAGUCUUGUAGAGGGGGGUAGAAUUCCAGGUGUAGCGGUGAAAUGCGUAGAGAUCUGGAGGAAUACCGGUGGCGAAGGCGGCCCCCUGGACAAAGACUGACGCUCAGGUGCGAAAGCGUGGGGAGCAAACAGGAUUAGAUACCCUGGUAGUCCACGCCGUAAACGAUGUCUACUUGGAGGUUGUGCCCUUGAGGCGUGGCUUCCGGAGCUAACGCGUUAAGUAGACCGCCUGGGGAGUACGGCCGCAAGGUUAAAACUCAAAUGAAUUGACGGGGGCCCGCACAAGCGGUGGAGCAUGUGGUUUAAUUCGAUGCAACGCGAAGAACCUUACCUGG